RNAcentral lists this ribosomal RNA (251 nucleotides) under uncultured prokaryote. RNAcentral describes it as "partial 16S rRNA". It matches the Rfam family "Bacterial small subunit ribosomal RNA", at positions 525 to 775 of the family's 1533-position model. The record is from RNAcentral.
ACGGAGGAUGAGAGCGUUAUCCGGAUUUAUUGGGUUUAAAGGGUGCGUAGGCGGAUUAAUAAGUCAGUGAUGAAAACCUUCAGCUUAACGGGAGAACUGCCAUUGAUACUGUUAGUAUUGAGUACGGUCAAGGUAGGCGGAAUGAGUAAUGUAGCGGUGAAUUGCUUAGAUAUUACACAGAGCACCGAUUGCGAAGGCAGCUUCCUGGGCCAUUCCUGACGCUGAGGCCCGAAAUAGUGGGGAGCGAAAAG